CUGAGCCUGAGAUACGAUAGAUUUUCCAUGGAAAAGCCAGAUAAACACACAUGAGAAAAGCUGAUCUAAUGAGGAAGACUGUGGCCCAGCAUUUCUGUGUUCCAGGAUAAGGGGCAUUACCAGGUCACAAGAAAGAAGAAGGAGAAGAUGACAGCUCACCGUGGUUGCUUCUGAGUCUGGGUUUUCCUUGAUCUUCUAAAAGAGGAAAGCCAAGCAAAAGGUGAUCUGAAUCCCAGAAAGGAAGCUGAAGUGUUCUUUUGUGCUUGAGGAUUUGUGCGGGA
Molecule: long non-coding RNA, 281 nt
Organism: Passer montanus (Eurasian tree sparrow)
Lineage: Eukaryota; Metazoa; Chordata; Aves; Passeriformes; Passeridae
Exons: 3
Source: RefSeq, a predicted model, not a curated record